Molecule: long non-coding RNA, 1753 nt
Organism: Gorilla gorilla gorilla (western lowland gorilla)
Lineage: Eukaryota; Metazoa; Chordata; Mammalia; Primates; Hominidae
Exons: 3
Source: RefSeq, a predicted model, not a curated record
GGCAGCAGAGGUCCACCAGGCCAGGUUAAGGAAAUCUGCAACGGUGGGCUGCAGUGGAGAGAGGGGCGUGGACUGCCACUGCUGCCCCUCGCCCUAGGUCACCCCCAGCUUUAUCAAAUGUCAGAGCACCAGGAAUCCUCCAUCAUCAAUGAGGACACAGAGUAAGUCCUAAGAGGAAGGGAAUGGGGAGGAAAAUGGAGAGGGGCUGGGCCCCGGACCUUCCACCGCAGGCAGUCCAGUGGUUCAGAGUUGGGGGGCAUCACUCCCCCAGUCCCGGGAAGGCUGUGAAGUCAGGGUGGGGAUGUUGAGACCCACAGGCCAAGGGAUGUGCUGGGAGUCGCGGCUGGGACUAGGAAGUCUGGAAGUGGGGUGAGCUAGGGUCCAGGGUAGGUUCAGGGCACACACACCUCAUUGUUAACCUCGCAGUCCAUCUCACAGUGGCUGUUGGGGCCGCACUGCUGGGCAGAGAGUGAGGACCGUAAGCCACCCACCAGUUUUCCUCCCUCCCAUCACCUUUCAUACAUCCGGUUCCCCAGGCCAUCUGCGGCUGGCCCUGCCUCCAUGUAGGUGUUGGAGCCACUGAGUGGAGGGUUGGUGGGGGUUCCAGGGGACUCCAGGAAGGGCACUGCUGGGUUACUGCCCCCGCCCCUGCCCAAAUACCUUCUGAGGCUGGUCUUGGUGGGUACGGUUGCUGGCUAGCACCUUGAACUUCUCAGCCCAAGCCUCUAGGUCCAGCUUGACGCCCACCACUUUGGGGGAGAGCAAGGGACCAUCAGUGCUACCUGCCCAGGCAGUACCCUGUCCAUUGCCUGUUUCCCCACCUCUGUCCCAAACAUUCACCUGCUGGCCUCAGUGUGCGCCUGCCUAGGCUGAGCUCCACAGCUGUGCUGACGAGGAUGCCCACGGUGUCAUUCUCCAGCUCCAGCGGCCUUAACAGGGCUGGGGGUUGGGCGGGGAAGUCAGGAGUGGGGUCUGGCGGCCACACUGACCACUCUAUGCUGGGUCCUACAAACCCAGCAGUCCAAUCCCGGGAUGACUCCAGCCCAAGCACCCAGCACUCAGGACAGUGUUUGGCACAGUCUAUCCCUCUCUUCACGUCUGCCCUGGCCUCAGCCAGCCUUGUGUUGGAGAGGGGCCUCAGACAGCAGAGCCCAGUUCUGGCUGAGCAGACAGGAAAGCUGAGGCUCCCUGCCUGCUGCUGGGCACACUGCGGGGACACUCACCAUCCUGGUGUGGGGGCUUGAAGACAUAACCGUGGUUAUCCAGGCUGCGGCGGUAGAAGCUGGCAUUGAAGGGCUCAGGGUUCUCUGUCCAGUCCUCAGCUGCCCUGGAGCACCCAAGAGGCAGACUGGCUGGGUGAUGCCUACGUGUUGAGAUCCUGGUCCCUCCACACACGCUCUACCAGCUGCUGCGUGAUGCCCGUGUCCAAGAUCAGGUUGUGCAGAAGGAAGUUGUUGCCUGGAACAGGAGGGGAGGGGUGGGGGUGGGGGCAUCUUCUUGCAGCUCCUUGCCCACCCUCACCCCCACCCUCAAGGCUCCACCAGGAGCCUCCUCCAUGACCUGGCCCUGGCCCAGGCCCAGCCCUUAGCUUGUGCCUGCUUAUUUCCACACCUGCCCGGCCUCUGGGUUCCUCUGGGCUGGCCCCAUGCUGCCUGGGCACUGCCCAGAGCCAGCUGCCCUGCCAGGCACUCACACUGCUUGGAGUCUGGAGUCACUUUCUCCAUGAGCUCAAUAAAGUUUUUCAGGAACUCGG